GCGGCGGACGGGUGAGUAACACGUGGGUAACCUGCCUGUAAGACUGGGAUAACUYCCGGGAAACCGGGGCUAAUACCGGAUGGUUGUUUGAACCGCAUGGUUCAAACAUAAAAGGUGGCUUCGGCUACCACUUACAGAUGGACCCGCGGCGCAUUAGCUAGUUGGUGAGGUAACGGCUCACCAAGGCAACGAUGCGUAGCCGACCUGAGAGGGUGAUCGGCCACACUGGGACUGAGACACGGCCCAGACUCCUACGGGAGGCAGCAGUAGGGAAUCUUCCGCAAUGGACGAAAGUCUGACGGAGCAACGCCGCGUGAGUGAUGAAGGUUUUCGGAUCGUAAAGCUCUGUUGUUAGGGAAGAACAAGUACCGUUCGAAUAGGGCGGUACCUUGACGGUACCUAACCAGAAAGCCACGGCUAACUACGUGCCA
This 431-nucleotide ribosomal RNA is filed under the name Bacillus sp. (in: firmicutes). Its description in RNAcentral is "bacterial SSU rRNA". The record is from RNAcentral. Lineage: Bacteria; Bacillati; Bacillota; Bacilli; Caryophanales; Bacillaceae.